RNAcentral lists this ribosomal RNA (253 nucleotides) under uncultured bacterium. RNAcentral describes it as "partial 16S ribosomal RNA". It matches the Rfam family "Bacterial small subunit ribosomal RNA", at positions 524 to 776 of the family's 1533-position model. The record is from RNAcentral.
UACGGGGGGGGUAAGCGUUGUUCGGAAUUACUGGGCGUAAAGGGCUCGUAGGUGGCCAACUAAGUCAGACGUGAAAUCCCUCGGCUUAACCGGGGAACUGCGUCUGAUACUGGACGGCUUGAGUUUGGGAGAGGGACGCGGAAUUCCAGGUGUAGCGGUGAAAUGCGUAGAUAUCUGGAGGAACACCGGUGGCGAAGGCGGCGUCCUGGACCAACACUGACACUGAGGAGCGAAAGCCAGGGGAGCAAACGGG